UUCUCAGGAAGUAGACAAAGAGAUGAAUGGUUCUCAGGGGAAAGCUCCAGCACUAAGACACUGUCCUUCCCCACAGAGACCAUUAUGAGAUUUUCAGUAAUGCCUGUGAGUCACUGAGUAAUGGGAGACACCCUUGGGAGCAUAAACCACAAGAAGAUAUCAUCAGGAGGUGACCUCCUUUCUGUUCUCUGAAGGACAGCCUUGGGAGAAAAAGAUGAUGCUGAACUUCCAGGUUGACAGAAAAGGUCUGGAGUAGUAUGGAGUGGCCUCAAAUUAACUGAAGACGACCUUGACUUCACUUGCCUUCACUUCCUGGGAUUACAGACAUGUACCUCCAUGCCCAGUUCAUGAGAGGCUGGGAACCAAAUCCGGGGCUUCAUACAUGCUCACCAGACGUUCUAUCAGCUGAGCUACAAAAUUCUUUACAGUCCAGAGACUCCACAACAUGCAAGAAACCCUGAAAAGACAUGUGUCAUGAAUUCAUCAUAUUGCUAAUUGACCCCCACUGCCUGCUGUGCAAGAGAUUGUCACUGUGCAAGGACAAUCAGGUGACCAACCACCGAGCACAGUGUCUCAACAUGGGUUUGUUACUUCUAUGUUGAGGACUCUCAUUUCAGUCCAUAUGGAUGGGAGAAGGGCUCAUGAGGCUUUUGGGUAAGAACUUGGUGAGGGGGAGUCAUUGUCAUUUGUAUACCUACUGGUGAGGCUCCAAUGAGUAAUUUCACACUCAUGGUCAUGAGAAUAGCCCUAGUUAAACUCUGUGGGUCCCCACACAAAAUGGUAAGACUUGUGGGUAGAAAGGGGACUUGUAGGAAAGAGAGAGGAGUUGAUGGGAUAGGAGAAAGAUUAUAUGUAUAUUUGAUUUCCUAUAACCAUAUAGGAAAGGAAUCGUUGUAAAUAGGACAAUUUCAAUGAAUAAAUAAAUUUAAUUAAUACAAAAUAAACAAAUAAAAUAAUGAGUUCCAAUUAAGCCAUUACAAGGGCUAGAUUGAAAACAAGAAUAAACUUUAAUAAAUAACAGUUAAAAAAAAAACUUACAGCAUUUCUAAAGCUGUUUCCUACUUAAAACUGUUCCCCUGGUUGACAGUACUGGAGGAGAAAAGAAAGGAAGGGAGGGAGGGAGGAAGAGAGGGAAGGAAAGAGCAGAGAAAGGAAGAAGGGGAGAAAGAAGAGAUAGAGGAGGGGGAGGAAGAAGAAAAGAAGAAAGAUCUCAAGUAAAUGCAGGAAAUGCCGGGUGUCAGAUUCGCACGAAGUCUUCUCCCUGCUGCUCUUGCAAACGGACUAUUUUCAUGUUAAGCUUCAGAUACAUCCUCCAAUAAAAAUAAACCUGCUUCAUUUU
Peromyscus leucopus (white-footed mouse) is the source of this 1339-nucleotide long non-coding RNA. RefSeq lists it as uncharacterized. The record is from RefSeq and is a predicted model, not a curated record. The transcript is spliced from 2 exons. NCBI's taxonomy places the organism in Eukaryota, Metazoa, Chordata, Mammalia, Rodentia, Cricetidae.